UACGUAGGGUGCAAGCGUUAAUCGGAAUUACUGGGCGUAAAGCGUGCGCAGGCGGUUUUGUAAGUCUGUCGUGAAAUCCCCCGGGCUCAACCUGGGAAUUGCGAUGGAGACUGCAAGGCUAGAAUCUGGCAGAGGGGGGUAGAAUUCCACGUGUAGCAGUGAAAUGCGUAGAGAUGUGGAGGAACACCGAUGGCGAAGGCAGCCCCCUGGGUCAAGAUUGACGCUCAUGCACGAAAGCGUGGGGAGCAAACAGGAUUAGAAC
This 262-nucleotide ribosomal RNA is filed under the name uncultured bacterium. RNAcentral describes it as "partial 16S ribosomal RNA". It matches the Rfam family "Bacterial small subunit ribosomal RNA", at positions 524 to 784 of the family's 1533-position model. The record is from RNAcentral.